CCGGUCUCCCUCAGCCUCUCUGCGGCGGUGGCGUCUCGCGGACCCGUGCCCGGCUGCCCGGGGCCAGCGCACCGGCUCUGCCAAGCGCCGCAGCCCAGCCCGGAGGCCCAGGGCGGCCGGGGUAACCUCGCUCCUGAUGCCCGCCUCGGGCAGACAGCCCCCACCCUCACCCCGCAAUGUGGGUCGGUCUUGUGCAGCUGGGUCGUCUCUGCAGGCGGAGUUGUUUUCCCGCUUGGCACCGUGCUGUCCGCUUGUGCUUAACUAACCAGUAAAAGUGCUGCAGAGUCAGCGGUGAGGUUAGGUGGAAACGUCCAGGCCGGGGCGGUGAGCUCUCUUCCCGACGUGUGACCCUUUGGGCCUGAUGUGUAUGACACCGAGAUUUGAUUCAGGCAUCUUCACGUCCGUUUCGCCCGUGCCUUAGCCCCUGUUGAGUUCCCUGCUGUGUAGGAUGCCAGAACUGGAGACUCUGGAGAUCAUGAAGUUGGUGAAUUGCCCCGAGGCCUUCCCCCCGGACAUGAGGUGCAUCAUGGGCGAGUCCCCUUCAGUGCGGGGCUACUUCAUCCUGGCGGGAAUGAACUCUGCUGGCCUUUCGUUUGGUUGGAGGAGCUAGUAAAGUUGACCAGAGAGUAAAGUGUUAGCUGCACGGCUGGAAGACCCUUCACUGAAACGAGCUGCAGGAGCUUUCGACCCUACACCCAUCUGUUGAAGGUACUUUUGUCUCCACCCACCAUGUGACACUCUGGAGUGUAAGGCACUAGAACCUGGCUUGGAGGAAAGAGGUGCCCCAAGCUCCAGUUCUUGGUGUGCAAAGGAAAUACUGGCAUAGAUCCACUGAAACAGAUGCUAAAAGUAUCCUCUCCACUUCUUACAAUUUCUGUCCUUGAGAGACAGAAAAAUGAGAAGGCAGAAAGUCUGCAAAGGAUAAAAAUAGGUGUAUCUAAAUAUCAUGAGAAAAAUGGCCCAUGAAGAAAUGUGUAAUUCCCCAAGGGUUCUGCUCAGAGAAGUCACGAAUCAUACACAAGGAACAACUCUGGUGUUUAACGGAUAAAAGAGAAGGCAAAGACUUACAAAAAUAGUUCUCUUGAAAAAUAGUAUUUGUCAUGGUAAGGGACUGCAUCUGCCAGCCCCGUGAUGACAAUGAAGGAGCCUUACAACUAACGGAGCACCUUAACGUGGAGGGCGGUGGCAGUGGGUGUGGGGAGCGGCUCUGAUGCGUGGCUCCCUAGCUCCCUCACGACUCACUGCAGGACGAGGCUACUGCCUAUUAUUUCAUCUGCCGUCUCUUCCACUCAACUGUGCUGCUCCUGAGUCCAUGUGCCUGCACAUGACAUGUGCCAGAUGAAAAUUCCUUACUCGUGAGAAACUUUUCCCUACCUCCUGUUGAUAAAAUGCUGCUUAUAUCAAAGUUUGUGAGGGAUGGGGUGUGUGUGUGUGUGUGUGUGUGCGUGCGUGCAGAAAGAAAAUGAACACAGUAGGUUAUACUUCAGGAUUGAGCACUGUUGACCAAAUCUCUAUCUAUCUUAGAUACUAAAUAUACUUAGAUCCUUGCUGUGUACACUGGCCACGAGGCAACAAAGAUAUAAAAAGGAACUUGUUGUUAAUGCCUGGAAGCCAGCCAAUGCAGUUGUUUUACAGAGGCAGAAAUCAAGGCCGGAGGGGUCACCUCUCCAGUGAAGCAAAAUCACUUUAGGAACCUCCUAGCAUUCCUGCCACAUACACGGUGGCAGUGGGGAGGGGUUAAAGUCGCAAAUGCAUGCAAAGGCAGGAUAAAGCAGAAAGCUGAAGAGUUAUUUUUCACAUUGAGUUACUUUCUUGGAAACAACAGCCUAGGAAAGAAGAGAUACAGCUAAAACUCUUGGUCUGUACGAGGAGGUAGAAUCCAGGGACAGCAUACCUCCUGAUGAGAAUCAAACAAGUGACCUGGUGCUACUCCUGCAGAAAUGGGAACUUUGGGGCCAAAGUGAGACUGGGGUUAAUCACUGGGCUAAAUGGCAUCUCUUGCAUUUGGGGGUACAGGGACUCUUCAGAAAAGCACUAGAAUGUAGGGGGAACCGUUCAGUUUUCUCUCCUGGAGCAUGUCCUGCCCAUGCAGUGCUAUGUGACCAAAACACAAGUUAAAGGACAUCAAAUUGUGCUAUCCAAGCAGGUAGGUCUUGUCCGUCCCUUUUUGCUCUAAGAACUUUCUGAAUUAGAGCUUUUAUCACAGACAAGAAAUUUUCAAUGUCAGUCACAUGACCAUGGGAUUUACAUGUGGCACAAGUAGCUAGGGGCUUAUCUCAAGAGAGGAGAAGGCUCACAGGAGACUUGCAACCUUGAUUCUCCAUCUGUUUGAAGCCAACACACUUGGUGUUUCUAGGUUCAAAAUGAUUCUUCAAUUGCAUAUGCUGAGAAGAUUGUGGAGCCCCUCUCCCAAUACAGCACAAGUGGUGAUAACAGAUCAUUUCAGAGAGAAGAAAAAAGUACCAACCACCUAAAACAAGAGUCCAGCUACUCCUUGAACAAUCCCUCCAAUCUCCAGGGAGAGGUGAGUUGUCACAGAGAGCAAACACAUGCGGUCCCAGUGUCCAAGUCGGGGAUGACACAGAAAUGAAGAUGUUUUGAUUUCAACUAUGUUUGAGGCAGGAAGGAGUCACCCCCUUCCCUUUAGAGAAAUCUAGCAGAUUCAUAUUGCCUAUAUUUGAAUGAACCAAAGGAGACUUGAAGGAUGAAUUGUAAAGUGCUGGAAGAUAAAUAUGUAAGUUUCAGGGCACUCAAUAAGCAAGUGAUUCCCCCCAGAUUCUUAGAAGUGUCACCCCUAUUGAUGGACAAGAUGUAAUUUAUGCAUAAAUCUAGAUUGGAUUCCAUCUCAAAUAACUUUCCAUUUAUAAAGACGACUUUGCAGUGGUGUGCAUGGGAUACCUUUAGUUCUACAUCUGUUUCCAUCUUCUUGGGUCAGUUGGCUCCCUGCUGGUAACACCUGCAUUGUCCGGUGCCAGUUUCCUGCUCUCCAGCUGGGCAGCACCUCUCCUCUUUGCCUAGAAGCAGCAUCUCUCAGCUAGUUAAAUUCACACUUGCCCCAAAAUACCAAGGCCCCCCGACAGAAUUCUAAUCACAUACCCCCCUCAUUAAAUCAAUGAAGACCUCGUAAGAAGGUGGACACUAAAGUCAGUGAUCAAGUGGGUAAACAGAAAUCCCAGAGAAACACCAGAGCAGGCAGACACCUGAGAAUUGUAAGCUGCUCUAAUGAAAUGAAAGGAUUGUCUCUAAUAUACUUAUAGACCUAUCAGAACUAAUGCAUCCAAGAUACCAAGAUAACAAAGGCUAUGAUUAAUUAAAAUCUCUAGCGUCUGUUUGCAAGGGGAAAUUAAGCGUGGGGAUGGAUACCACAGUCUGUGCGAUCCAAGUUCCACCCUUAGAAAACAGAGACACUGCUUAAAGGUGUGCAGGGCACUCUUACCCCAAGUUACCUUCUAUGCCAGCAGAUGUGGAGAGAUGUCUGGAAAGCAGACCUUGGGCUCAGGUAACAUAUGCUCUCCACACCGGGAACUCUCAAGGGACCCAAGUGGGUCAUCUCUGUGUGGAUCUGUGUCUUUUGUGCAGGGGAAGAACCCUGGGGGUCGCAGCAGCUCUCUUCAACUCAGCGUGGCCACAAGGUUUAGUUACUCAGCCAAGAUGCUUGUCCUGCCUCCCCCGUCCUCUUCUAAGGGAGAGAGCAUGCACUGAGCCAGUGGGCCUCCUGUGGAAGGGACACAUGAGGCUGAACUGAAAGUCACAUGCGCUCGGAGAAGAGGAACGUCAAGGUGGGGUGACUGAACUGUGAGUAGCUGAAAGAAAAGCAGCACUGUUUCAUAGAAAACUCAGCAUCGCUGGAGCUUAGUUUGAGGUCAGACCCUUUCAGCUAGGAAAAGCAACACUAAAGGCAACACGGUCUUUCCCUUUCAAACACUGUGGCUUAUUUGUUUAGUCGGUUAAAUAAACCACAACCCCCCUCAUUAUAGAGAUUAGCAAGAGAUGAAGAAAAUUAUAGGCAGGUGGCCCCAGCCCAACAGUCUGAUAACUGGGUCAGUAGGGAGGCCCAGGAUGGUUAACUACUUAUACGUGCUAAACCCCACGUAACGCCCACACGAUGCCUCUCAUCAGCGAGGUAGAUGGUCAUCCUCCUGCCAGAGGUAUCACGGUGCCGGCCCACAGCACAAAGGAAUGGGAGAAGGACCUGCCUGGCUAAAAGGCGUAAGCUAUUCCACACGGCUGUAUCACACAGACAGCAGCUAGCCAGAAUUCACAGGUCACUCCAAGAAAACUUAGCCCCAUGGAGAUGGACUCUUACCCUGAGGCCUGCACACCACAAGCCUCCCUUGCUUCAA
Molecule: long non-coding RNA, 4343 nt
Organism: Physeter macrocephalus (sperm whale)
Lineage: Eukaryota; Metazoa; Chordata; Mammalia; Artiodactyla; Physeteridae
Exons: 3
Source: RefSeq, a predicted model, not a curated record